This 537-nucleotide ribosomal RNA is filed under the name Vibrio sp. Ms 121. Its description in RNAcentral is "bacterial SSU rRNA". It matches the Rfam family "Bacterial small subunit ribosomal RNA", at positions 8 to 524 of the family's 1533-position model. The record is from RNAcentral. Lineage: Bacteria; Pseudomonadati; Pseudomonadota; Gammaproteobacteria; Vibrionales; Vibrionaceae.
AGAGUUUGAUCCUGGCUGAGAUUGAACGCUGGCGGCAGGCCUAACACAUGCAAGUCGAGCGGAAACGAGUUAUCUGAACCUUCGGGGAACGAUAACGGCGUCGAGCGGCGGACGGGUGAGUAAUGCCUAGGAAAUUGCCCUGAUGUGGGGGAUAACCAUUGGAAACGAUGGCUAAUACCGCAUGAUGCCUACGGGCCAAAGAGGGGGACCUUCGGGCCUCUCGCGUCAGGAUAUGCCUAGGUGGGAUUAGCUAGUUGGUGAGGUAAGGGCUCACCAAGGCGACGAUCCCUAGCUGGUCUGAGAGGAUGAUCAGCCACACUGGAACUGAGACACGGUCCAGACUCCUACGGGAGGCAGCAGUGGGGAAUAUUGCACAAUGGGCGCAAGCCUGAUGCAGCCAUGCCGCGUGUAUGAAGAAGGCCUUCGGGUUGUAAAGUACUUUCAGUCGUGAGGAAGGCGGCGUCGUUAAUAGCGGCGUUGUUUGACGUUAGCGACAGAAGAAGCACCGGCUAACUCCGUGCCAGCAGCCGCGGUAAU